This 482-nucleotide ribosomal RNA is filed under the name uncultured bacterium. Its description in RNAcentral is "partial 16S ribosomal RNA". It matches the Rfam family "Bacterial small subunit ribosomal RNA", at positions 28 to 507 of the family's 1533-position model. The record is from RNAcentral.
GACGAACGCUGGCGGCGUGCUUAACACAUGCAAGUCGAACGCUGAAGCUCAGCUUGCUGGGUGGAUGAGUGGCGAACGGGUGAGUAACACGUGAGUAACCUGCCCUCUUCUUUGGGAUAACGCCCGGAAACGGGUGCUAAUACUGGAUAUUCACUGAUUCUCGCAUGGGGGUUGGUGGAAAGGUGUUUUCUGGUGGGGUAUGGGCUCGCGGCCUCUCAGCUUGUUGGUGGGGUGAUGGCCUACCAAGGCUUUGACGGGUAGCCGGCUAGAGAGGGUGACCGUUCACAUUGGGACUGAGAUACGGCCCAGACUCCUACGGGAGGCAGCAGUGGGGAAUAUUGCACAAUGGGCGAAAGCCUGAUGCAGCGACGCCGCGUGAGGGAUGGAGGCCUUCGGGUUGUAAACCUCUUUCGCUCAUGGUCAAGCCGCAGCUUUGGGUUGUGGUGAGGGUAGUGGGUAAAGAAGCGCCGGCUAACUACGUG